GAGAAAGGUCUAGAGACACGAAGAACUGCUAACUCUUCAUUCCAUGGUUCAAAUCCAUGGCUAGCUCA
This 68-nucleotide transfer RNA is filed under the name Stegostoma tigrinum. Its description in RNAcentral is "tRNA-Ser". The record is from RNAcentral. Lineage: Eukaryota; Metazoa; Chordata; Chondrichthyes; Orectolobiformes; Stegostomatidae.